Molecule: long non-coding RNA, 545 nt
Filed under: Calidris pugnax (ruff)
Lineage: Eukaryota; Metazoa; Chordata; Aves; Charadriiformes; Scolopacidae
Description: lncRNA (ENSCPUG00000009125.1)
Source: RNAcentral
AUUUUCUUGUGUGUAUGAAGGUGGCAGGAGGCCUGUCAGAACAAACCUACAUCUAUGCUUUUAGGGCCACCUGCUGAGACAGAGAAAGCCAGCAUUUCUUUCUCAAAUGAAAGCCUGAAUUCCCCAGAACAGCCUCUGCUGCAUCAACACGAGCAACAUUUGGAGGAAGCAAACUGUGAUGCUCAGCAAAACCCACCCGAUUCCCCAGGAUGUAAGGACUUCAUUCUUAACAUUGAGCUGGAAAAAGCUGAAAAUGGAAGCCUGGGAUUUGCCCUGGUGGGUGGAAGGAACGGCAGGGCUAUCCUAAUAAAAGCCAUCAGCCCCGACAGCAUCGCAGAUCUAGAUGGGAGGCUCCAAGUUGGGGACAUUCUACUUAAGGUGAAUGAGACUUUUGUGUCUGGUCUCCCACGCCAAACGGUCAUAGAUUUGCUGCGCAAGGCCCGAGGCACCGUUCAACUCACCGUCUGCCGAAGCCUGGCUUUGCAUUGGGCUUAUUCAGGCAACCAGAGCAACAGCAUCCCUUCCCCCACAGAUACAGAGCUGGG